GACGAACGCUGGCGGCGUGCUUAACACAUGCAAGUCGAACGGAAAGGCCCUGCUUUUGUGGGGUGCUCGAGUGGCGAACGGGUGAGUAACACGUGAGUAACCUGCCCUUGACUUUGGGAUAACUUCAGGAAACUGGGGCUAAUACCGGAUAGGAGAUCCUGAUGCAUGGUGGGGGUUGGAAAGUUUCGGCGGUUGGGGAUGGACUCGCGGCUUAUCAGCUUGUUGGUGGGGUAGUGGCUGACCAAGGCUUUGACGGGUAGCCGGCCUGAGAGGGUGACCGGCCACCAUGGGACUGAGAGACGGCCCAGACUCCUACGGGAGGCAGCAGUGGGGAAUAUUGCACAAUGGGCGGACGCCUGAUGCAGCAACGCCGCGUGCGGGAUGACGGCCUUCGGGUUGUAAACCGCUUUCUCCUGUGACGAAGCGUGAGUGACGGUAAUGGGUAAAGAAGCACCGGCUAACUACGUG
This 468-nucleotide ribosomal RNA is filed under the name uncultured bacterium. RNAcentral's name for it is "partial 16S ribosomal RNA". It matches the Rfam family "Bacterial small subunit ribosomal RNA", at positions 28 to 507 of the family's 1533-position model. The record is from RNAcentral.